Molecule: transfer RNA, 72 nt
Filed under: Heterocephalus glaber (naked mole-rat)
Lineage: Eukaryota; Metazoa; Chordata; Mammalia; Rodentia; Bathyergidae
Rfam family: tRNA
About the family: Transfer RNA (tRNA) molecules are approximately 80 nucleotides in length.
Source: Rfam by way of RNAcentral
UGUUGUGUAGCUCAUUGGUAGAAUGUUUGCCUAGCAUGCACAAGACCUUGGGUUCAGUACCCAGCACAGCAA